UACGUAGGGUGCAAGCGUUGUCCGGAAUUAUUGGGCGUAAAGAGCUCGUAGGCGGUUCGCCGCGUCGGCUGUGAAAACCCGGAGCUCAACUCCGGGCCUGCAGUCGAUACGGGCGGACUUGAGUGUUGCAGGGGAGACUGGAAUUCCUGGUGUAGCGGUGAAAUGCGCAGAUAUCAGGAGGAACACCGGUGGCGAAGGCGGGUCUCUGGGCAACUACUGACGCUGAGGAGCGAAAGCGUGGGGAGCGAACAGG
This 253-nucleotide ribosomal RNA is filed under the name uncultured bacterium. Its description in RNAcentral is "partial 16S ribosomal RNA". It matches the Rfam family "Bacterial small subunit ribosomal RNA", at positions 524 to 776 of the family's 1533-position model. The record is from RNAcentral.